GAUGAACGCUAGCUACAGGCUUAGCACAUGCAAGUCGAGGGGUAACGAGAGGAAAGCUUGCUUUCCUUGUCGACGACCAGCGCACGGGUGAGUAACGCGUAUCCAACCUGCCCCCAACUAAGGAAUAACCUUGCGAAAGUAAGACUAAUACCUUAUAAUUUCCUCAGAUGUCAUCUGACGAGGAAUAAAGAUUUAUCGGUUGUGGAUGGGGAUGCGUCUGAUUAGCUUGUUGGCGGGGUAACGGCCCACCAAGGCAACGAUCAGUAGGGGUUCUGAGAGGAAGGUCCCCCACAUUGGAACUGAGACACGGUCCAAACUCCUACGGGAGGCAGCAGUGAGGAAUAUUGGUCAAUGGGCGAAAGCUUGAACCAGCCAAGUAGCGUGCAGGAUGACGGCCCUAUGGGUUGUAAACUGCUUUUAUACAGGAAUAAAGUUAGCCACGUGUGGUUAUUUGUAGGUACUGUAUGAAUAAGGACCGGCUAAUUCCGUGCCAGCAGCCGCCGUAA
Molecule: ribosomal RNA, 506 nt
Filed under: uncultured bacterium
Lineage: Bacteria
Description: partial 16S ribosomal RNA
Rfam family: Bacterial small subunit ribosomal RNA
Source: RNAcentral